This 71-nucleotide transfer RNA is filed under the name Myceligenerans xiligouense. It matches the Rfam family "tRNA". From Rfam's summary of the family: Transfer RNA (tRNA) molecules are approximately 80 nucleotides in length. Their secondary structure includes four short double-helical elements and three loops (D, anti-codon, and T loops). Lineage: Bacteria; Bacillati; Actinomycetota; Actinomycetes; Micrococcales; Promicromonosporaceae. The record is from Rfam by way of RNAcentral.
CGGCGUGUAGUUCAGUGGAGAACGCCCGGCUUGGGUCCGGGAGGGCGCGGGCUCGUUGCCCGCCACGCCGG